CAAGUAGUAGGGGAUUGUAACGGUCCACCCGUUAUAAUAUCAUUUUUAGCGCUGUAAUUAUUUUUAAAAAAAUUAUUUUCUCUUGAUCGCUUAAUCAAUUUCUUAAUUUUCUCGUAAAGGACUUCUCAUGUGACGUCACACUGUACGGAACAUAGUUGUUGAGCCGUUCCUUGUCAUUUAAUUCGUGUUCCGUGAGAGUUUGACGUUUUCCUCGCUGACUGUGGGAGGAAUGAGAGACACUUGGCCGGUGGCUGCGAGGUUGACAGGUUGGUGUUGGUAGUUAGUACCAUAGAAUGGCGGUUAAUUUCUUCAAAAUUAAUUUUUAUUUCAACUAAGGAUAGUGAAAAGUUACCACCACUUGUUUCCUGGAGUACGGGUUUCCUGGAGUAAGGAUGGGAGUACCAUCAGUGGAAGAGGAAUAAAAAAUUAACCGCCAUUUGGAAGAAAGCUAACCCUCCUGUGAAGUCGUACCCACUUUGACCACCUAGGGAAGCCACCUUGACCUUAUUGCAGCCACCGCCAAGUCAAACUGGGAGUAUGUUUUUGGGAACAAGUUUUCUUUGGGGAGCAUUCCAGCUCAAUUUUCGUCUUCGCACCUGGGUCUACAGGAGGCAUGAUUUUGCAUCAUCCUGAUGCUCAUUUCUGAGGAUGCAUCAGCAACCUCUUUAGGAGUCGUUUGGGAACAAUUAGUGUGGUGAUAAGAGUAACUAGGGUUUUUUAUAUUCCAGACAUUUAUGUGAUACAUUAUGUUUAUUAAUUACUUUUUCAGAUUUAGCGUACUUUUUUUUAUAUGACAUACUUGUAUACAUAUGACAUAUUUGAAUAUUAAUAUUUGGUUCCCAAACUAUUGUAGCUCUGGUAAGUUACUUGUGUACACAAGGUAAUAAGCCUAGAAAAUUAGGUUUUUAUAUUUUAUUCUUGGUUUGAUAUUUAUUUUUUGUAAUAUUACUUGCCUGUUUCCCAAAUAUUUUCUUAUUUAUUCGCUUUAUUUCAUUUGUUCGGUUAAUUCGUCGUUACUUUAUUUUAUUGCAUUUGCUCGGGUAAUUUUGGUCAUCGUUUCGGUAUUUAUCUUAACUUCAUUUCUAUAACUCAUUCAUUGUAUAUUUAACUUUGCUUAAUUCAUUUAGUAUUUUCCCUUAGUUAGGCUCAUGCCUAUUUAUAUAUAUAUUUAUUUGCAUUAUUUUCAUCUUCGUCGUUUUCAAUUCAGUUGUACGUAGCAGGCGUACUAUAACCAUUUGGUAGAAGACUCAUGUUAGUUGUACCCUAUAUGUAAGAGGUAUUUAUAUAAUUUUGUAAUAGAUAACAUUAUUGUAGUUAUCUCAAAUAUAACUUUUUGUAUAACUUAUGUCAUUUUAGAGUCACAUGAUAUGCACUUUGUGUAACUCAGAGAUUGUCAAAGAUCUAGUAGUUAUUUUUAAUAAAUAUUUACUUAUUUUGUA
Molecule: long non-coding RNA, 1439 nt
Organism: Diabrotica virgifera virgifera (western corn rootworm)
Lineage: Eukaryota; Metazoa; Arthropoda; Insecta; Coleoptera; Chrysomelidae
Exons: 2
Source: RefSeq, a predicted model, not a curated record